RNAcentral lists this ribosomal RNA (753 nucleotides) under Salmonella enterica subsp. enterica serovar Oranienburg. RNAcentral's name for it is "bacterial SSU rRNA". It matches the Rfam family "Bacterial small subunit ribosomal RNA", at positions 1 to 748 of the family's 1533-position model. The record is from RNAcentral. Lineage: Bacteria; Pseudomonadati; Pseudomonadota; Gammaproteobacteria; Enterobacterales; Enterobacteriaceae.
GAAGAGUUUGAUCAUGGCUCAGAUUGAACGCUGGCGGCAGGCCUAACACAUGCAAGUCGAACGGUAACAGGAAGCAGCUUGCUGCUUUGCUGACGAGUGGCGGACGGGUGAGUAAUGUCUGGGAAACUGCCUGAUGGAGGGGGAUAACUACUGGAAACGGUGGCUAAUACCGCAUAACGUCGCAAGACCAAAGAGGGGGACCUUCGGGCCUCUUGCCAUCAGAUGUGCCCAGAUGGGAUUAGCUUGUUGGUGAGGUAACGGCUCACCAAGGCGACGAUCCCUAGCUGGUCUGAGAGGAUGACCAGCCACACUGGAACUGAGACACGGUCCAGACUCCUACGGGAGGCAGCAGUGGGGAAUAUUGCACAAUGGGCGCAAGCCUGAUGCAGCCAUGCCGCGUGUAUGAAGAAGGCCUUCGGGUUGUAAAGUACUUUCAGCGGGGAGGAAGGUGUUGUGGUUAAUAACCGCAGCAAUUGACGUUACCCGCAGAAGAAGCACCGGCUAACUCCGUGCCAGCAGCCGCGGUAAUACGGAGGGUGCAAGCGUUAAUCGGAAUUACUGGGCGUAAAGCGCACGCAGGCGGUCUGUCAAGUCGGAUGUGAAAUCCCCGGGCUCAACCUGGGAACUGCAUUCGAAACUGGCAGGCUUGAGUCUUGUAGAGGGGGGUAGAAUUCCAGGUGUAGCGGUGAAAUGCGUAGAGAUCUGGAGGAAUACCGGUGGCGAAGGCGGCCCCCUGGACAAAGACUGACGCUC